AACGCACAUUGCGCCCCUUGGUAUUCCGGGGGGCAUGCCUGUUCGAGCGUCAUUAUAACCCCUCAAGCUCAGCUUGGUGUUGGGGCCUGCCGACUGGCAGCCCUUAAAAUCAGUGGCGGCGCCAUCUGGCUCUAAGCGUAGUAAUUUCUCUCGCUAUAGGGUCCCGGUGGACGCUGGCCAGCAACCCCCAACUUUCUAUGGUUGACCUCGGAUCAGGUAGGGAUACCCGCUGAACUUAA
This 239-nucleotide unclassified non-coding RNA is filed under the name uncultured Mycoarthris. RNAcentral describes it as "sequence contains ITS2". The record is from RNAcentral. Lineage: Eukaryota; Fungi; Ascomycota; Leotiomycetes; Helotiales.